This 481-nucleotide ribosomal RNA is filed under the name uncultured bacterium. RNAcentral's name for it is "bacterial SSU rRNA". It matches the Rfam family "Bacterial small subunit ribosomal RNA", at positions 501 to 985 of the family's 1533-position model. The record is from RNAcentral.
CUACGUGCCAGCAGCCGCGGUAAUACGGAAGGUUCUGGUGUUAUCCGGAUUUAUUGGGUUUAAAGGGAGCGUAGGCCGGAGAUUAAGUGUGUUGUGAAAUGUAGACGCUCAACGUCUGACUUGCAGCGCAUACUGGUUUCCUUGAGUACGCACAACGUUGGCGGAAUUCGUCGUGUAGCGGUGAAAUGCUUAGAUAUGACGAAGAACUCCGAUUGCGAAGGCAGCUGACGGGAGCGCAACUGACGCUUAAGCUCGAAGGUGCGGGUAUCGAACAGGAUUAGAUACCCUGGUAGUCCGCACAGUAAACGAUGGAUGCCCGCUGUUGGUACCUGGUAUCAGCGGCUAAGCGAAAGCAUUAAGCAUCCCACCUGGGGAGUACGCCGGCAACGGUGAAACUCAAAGGAAUUGACGGGGGCCCGCACAAGCGGAGGAACAUGUGGUUUAAUUCGAUGAUACGCGAGGAACCUUACCCGGGCUUGAA